UAUGACCUGGGCUACACACGUGCUACAAUGGGAAGUACAACGAGUCGCGAAGUCGCGAGGCUAAGCUAAUCUCUUAAAGCUUCUCUCAGUUCGGAUUGCAGGCUGCAACUCGCCUGCAUGAAGCCGGAAUCGCUAGUAAUCGCGGAUCAGCACGCCGCGGUGAAUACGUUCCCGGGCCUUGUACACACCGCCCGUCACACCACGAGAGUUUGUAACACCCGAAGUCGGUGAGGUAACCUUUUGGAGCCAGCCGCCUAAGGUGGGAUAGAUGAUUGGGGUGAAGUCGUAACAAGGUAGCCGUAUCGGAAGGUGCGGCUGGAUCACCUCCUUU
Molecule: ribosomal RNA, 331 nt
Filed under: Enterococcus faecium
Lineage: Bacteria; Bacillati; Bacillota; Bacilli; Lactobacillales; Enterococcaceae
Also listed under: 9 other names
Description: bacterial SSU rRNA
Rfam family: Bacterial small subunit ribosomal RNA
Source: RNAcentral